CUCACAUCUUCAAUCUCUAAUUUUAAAUAUAAAAAUAAUAUAAGUAUUUGUUAAAAAAAAAAAUUUAUAUAACCAGUUGUUAGAAAAGUUAAAUUUUAAAAUCUUAACCUCAUACUUAUAUAGCUAAACUCUGAAUCCAUACUCCAAAUUUCAAACCAUAUAUAAUAAACAUAACCUUUAAACUUUAAAUUUUAAUAUUUUAGUUCACAUUUAAUCAUAUACUUCAUUCUAAAUCUUAACCCUAAACCAUAAACCAAAUACCUCAUAUUAACAUAUAUCAUAAUACAUUAAAUCUUAAUUUUUAAAUAAAUUAUAUUCAUACAAUAAAAACAUACUACUCCAAACUAACAACAUUUCACAUUAUACAUUUACAAAAUAAAAUUAAACCACCAAAUAAUAAACCAAAAAAUACAAUCUAAUCUUUUCAGUCAAACCCUAAACCAUAUAUAUAUAUAUAUCAUACCCCAACCAAAUACCUCAACAUAUAAUAUUAAUUAAUAAAUUUUUAAAACUAAACCGUAAAAUAUUGAUUAUAAAAUCUUCGUUUUAUUCAAACAUCAAUUUUAAAAAGUUAUAAACCAAAAGUCAUCAAAAUGUUGAAAAUAGAACAACAAAAGAUAAAAACAAAGAGGAAUUCUAUUGGAUAACUAAUAAAUAAAAAGGAAAAUUACAGGCCAAUCCGCUCUCAUCACGCGGAUCACUCUCUGAGCCGUAGGAUACAAAUAGAUCAAUGGAUGAGAUUUUCUUAUUUUCUUUUUUCUUUUUCUUUUUUUUCUCUAUCUCUCUUUCUCGCUCUUAUCUUCACAGAUCUUUUUUUUUAGAUCUCUCCACCUUCGACAAAUCUCUUUUAUUUUACAGAUCUCUUUUUCUUAAUCAUCUCAUACACACACAUCACUGUCUUACUCUCCUAACCUCACUCACACACGAUUCAUCUCACAGACAUCUCUCUGUUUCACUCUCAUAAUCUCUCUGUCUCACGCACGACACAUCCCCAACCAUCUUCUUCAGAAAGCGACGGUGGAGGCGCCAAAGCAAUGGUGGAAGCUGCGGCAGACUCGUCUCUGGUCAAGCACUGCGUUGGCUUCACCUCCUCACCACCACCGCAGAUUUAUUAAGGAGCAAGGGAAGGAGAAGCAGUGGUGUGGCAUAGCGAUCAAGCGUGGCGCGGCGGUGAGGUGGUGGUCGUGCGGUGGAGAUGCGAGCCUCAUGGUCGGCGGAGACUGAAGAAGAAUGUAGUUUGGUGGCCGUAUUAGGUUUAGUUAGGGUUAAUUAGUUAACCAAUUUGUAAUUCUAAACCAAUUUGUAAUUGUACCAUUUUGUAAUUGUAAACCAUGUAAACCAAAA
Molecule: long non-coding RNA, 1344 nt
Organism: Brassica napus (rape)
Lineage: Eukaryota; Viridiplantae; Streptophyta; Magnoliopsida; Brassicales; Brassicaceae
Exons: 2
Source: RefSeq, a predicted model, not a curated record